UACGUAGGGGGCUAGCGUUGUCCGGAAUCAUUGGGCGUAAAGCGCGUGUAGGCGGCCCGGUAAGUCCGCUGUGAAAGUCGGGGGCUCAACCCUCGAAAGCCGGUGGAUACUGUCGGGCUAGAGUACGGAAGAGGCGAGUGGAAUUCCUGGUGUAGCGGUGAAAUGCGCAGAUAUCAGGAGGAACACCGAUUGCGAAGGCAGCUCGCUGGGACGUUACUGACGCUGAGACGCGAAAGCGUGGGGAGCAAACAGG
RNAcentral lists this ribosomal RNA (253 nucleotides) under uncultured bacterium. RNAcentral's name for it is "partial 16S ribosomal RNA". It matches the Rfam family "Bacterial small subunit ribosomal RNA", at positions 524 to 776 of the family's 1533-position model. The record is from RNAcentral.